This 345-nucleotide ribosomal RNA is filed under the name uncultured bacterium. RNAcentral describes it as "bacterial LSU rRNA". It matches the Rfam family "Bacterial large subunit ribosomal RNA", at positions 115 to 471 of the family's 2925-position model. The record is from RNAcentral.
CGAAUGGGGAAACCCGGCUGGUUGAAGAUCAGUCAUCAGUCUUAGACUGAAGCAAACCCGGAGAACUGAAACAUCUAAGUACCCGGAGGAGAAGAAAACAAAAGUGAUUUCCAAAGUAGUGGCGAACGAAAUGGAAUUAGCCCAAACCAGUGAUGUUUCGGCAUCAUUGGGGUUGUAGGACUACAAUGUGGACUUAAUUUAUAUAAUAGAAUAAUUUGGAAAGAUUAACCAAAGAGGGUGAUAGUCCCGUAUAUGAAAUAUAGAUUAUACCUAGUAGUAUCCUGAGUAUGGCGGGACAUGUGUAAUCCUGUCUGAAUCUGGCGGACCCUCCGGCUAAGGCUAAAU